This 70-nucleotide transfer RNA is filed under the name Crassostrea tulipa. Its description in RNAcentral is "tRNA-Glu". Lineage: Eukaryota; Metazoa; Mollusca; Bivalvia; Ostreida; Ostreidae. The record is from RNAcentral.
UCUAGGCUGGUGUAAUACGAGCACGUAAAAUUUUCGUUUUUGCGGAGGGGCUGUUGGGCCCCGCUUAGAU